CCUACGGGAGGCAGCAGUGGGGGAUAUUGCACAAUGGGGGAAACCCUGAUGCAGCGACGCCGCGUGUGGGAAGACGGUCCUCUGGAUUGUAAACCACUGUCCCCAGGGACGAAGAUGACGGUACCUGGGGAGGAAGCUCCGGCUAACUACGUGCCAGCAGCCGCGGUAAUACGUAGGGAGCGAGCGUUGUCCGGAAUUACUGGGUGGAAAGGGAGCGUAGGCGGGACUGAAAGUUGGGUGUCAAAUCUACCGGAGAAACCGGUAGCCGCACUGAAAACUGCAGUUCUUGAGUGAAGUAGAGGGAGGCGGAAUUCCUAGUGUAGCGGUGAAAUGCGUAGAUAUUAGGAGGAACACCAGUGGCGAAGGCGGCCUGCUGGGCUUUUACUGACGCUGAGGCUCGAAAGUGUGGGGAGCAAACAGGAUUAGAUACCCUAGUAGUC
This 440-nucleotide ribosomal RNA is filed under the name uncultured bacterium. Its description in RNAcentral is "partial 16S ribosomal RNA". It matches the Rfam family "Bacterial small subunit ribosomal RNA", at positions 338 to 795 of the family's 1533-position model. The record is from RNAcentral.